GGCCACCUCCCUCUUAUCCUACUGGCACUUGUCCUGUCUCUGGUUGUGGGGGUCCUGGUGUUAGGAAUGGCACUUUUCUUUUGUUGGCGACGUGGAAAGAAAAUCACAAAAGAUCUUGCCUCAGAUUCUAACCCUGAAAUGCACAACAAUCGUGAGCUCGGACAUGUGUAUGAUGAGAUCCAGGAGCCGCCUCGCUCUCUGCACACAGGGGCAGCUGGGACUAAAGCUGCUGAUGCUGUUUAUGCCAAUGCUCAAUUACCCACAAUCCUCUCGGAUGACACCACGUACUCAACGGUUCAAUUACCCACAAUCCCCUCUGAUGACACCACGUACUCAACGGUUCAAUUACCCACAAUCCCCUCUGAUGACACCACGUACUCAACGGUUCAAUUACCCACUAACCUCACUGGUGACUCUGCAUACUACACGGUUGCCUUACCCACAAUCCUCUCUGAUGACACCACAUAUAGCAUUGUUCAAUUACCUAAAAUGCAUCCUGGUGACAGCACAUAAUUCAACUCACUAUCCAGCUUCUCUUGCCAGCAAAUCCAUAUGCCCCUCCCCCAUCUGACUGUCUUAGGUAUGCCUAAUGGGUCAACCACACCCUCUAAAAAGGCCACUUUUUGAAGCAUGUUUUUAUAACUAGCACUGUUUUCAUCUUUAAUACAUACAGUCAUUUCCAUUGGUAUAUGGUCAUGUGAAGGACAGACCACCCUGUAAAACUUAAAAAACAAGACCUGAGUUAGCAGAGUUAGUUUUUUAUCAGUGCCAGUUGUGCUUUUGUCAGUGUUUAUAAUCUG
Molecule: long non-coding RNA, 800 nt
Organism: Clupea harengus (Atlantic herring)
Lineage: Eukaryota; Metazoa; Chordata; Actinopteri; Clupeiformes; Clupeidae
Source: Ensembl